Molecule: ribosomal RNA, 253 nt
Filed under: uncultured bacterium
Lineage: Bacteria
Description: partial 16S ribosomal RNA
Rfam family: Bacterial small subunit ribosomal RNA
Source: RNAcentral
UACGAAGGGGGCUAGCGUUGUUCGGAAUUACUGGGCGUAAAGCGCACGUAGGCGGAUACUUAAGUCAGGGGUGAAAUCCCGGGGCUCAACCCCGGAACUGCCUUUGAUACUGGGUAUCUCGAGUCCGGAAGAGGUGAGUGGAAUUCCGAGUGUAGAGGUGAAAUUCGUAGAUAUUCGCAAGAACACCAGUGGCGAAGGCGGCUCACUGGCCCGAUACUGACGCUGAGGCACGAAAGCGUGGGGAGCGAACAGG